This 73-nucleotide transfer RNA is filed under the name Candidatus Falkowiibacteriota bacterium. RNAcentral describes it as "tRNA-His". It matches the Rfam family "tRNA". Rfam says of the family: Transfer RNA (tRNA) molecules are approximately 80 nucleotides in length. Their secondary structure includes four short double-helical elements and three loops (D, anti-codon, and T loops). Further hydrogen bonds mediate the characteristic L-shaped molecular structure. tRNAs have two regions of fundamental functional importance: the anti-codon, which is responsible for specific mRNA codon recognition, and the 3' end, to which the tRNAs corresponding amino acid is attached (by aminoacyl-tRNA synthetases). tRNAs cope with the degeneracy of the genetic code in two manners: having more than one tRNA (with a specific anti-codon) for a particular amino acid; and 'wobble' base-pairing, i.e. permitting non-standard base-pairing at the 3rd anti-codon position. Lineage: Bacteria; Candidatus Falkowiibacteriota. The record is from RNAcentral.
GCGGGGUUGGUGAAAUUGGUUAUCACUCGAGUUUGUGGUACUCGCGUCACGGGUUCAAAUCCCGUACCUCGCC